UGUAAAGUUCAAGCUCCGAUUAUGAGGGCGAAACCGCGAAUGGCUCAUUAAAUCAGUCAUAAUCUACUUGAUUGUUUAAAGUUUACAUGGAUAACUGUGGUAAUUCUAGAGCUAAUACAUGCACAAAGAGGACGAAUCUGCAGCAAUGUGGACAAGUUCUGCGUUUAUUAGACUAAGACCAAUGGAUUGCUUCGGCAAUUCCUUGUUUUGGUGACUCUGAGUAAAUAAUGGGUGAAAGCCCAUGGUGCUGACCUGACAUACCAAAAGGCUCGCAAGAGUCUGUCAGGCAAAUCAAUCGAGUGUCUGCUCUAUCAACUGUGGAUGGUAGGGUAAUUGCCUACCAUGGUUAUGACGGGUAACGGGGAGUUAGGGCUCGACUCCGGAGAACAAGCCUGAGAAACGGCUAGUAGGACUAAGGUCUGCAGCAGGCGCGAAACUUACACAAUGCUAGAUUACCAAUAGCGAUGUAGUGAAGAAAAAUAACGAUGUACUUGCUUUCAAAAAGGCUAGUACAAUUGGAAUGAGACGACUUUAAACCGGUCAGUCGAGUAACAAAUGGAGGGCAAGUCUGGUGCCAGCAGCCGCGGUAAUUCCAGCUCCAUUAGCAUACAUUAAAGUUGUUGCGGUUAAAAAGCUCGUAGUUGAAUUUUAGGCGAGCUCUAUUGGGGCGCAGCCGUCAAGGCUUGCCUUCGGGUAAGCUGGUUGUGCUAUUCCAUUAGGAACUCGUUGUUUCGUCACUUAAUCGAGUGCGAAGCGGGCUGGUAUAUGACACUCCGGUGUCCGUAUAACAGCAUGUUUACCUUGAGAAAAUUAGAGUGCUCAGAGCAGGCAGCUUGGGUGUAAAAGCCCAUUUAUGCUUGAAUAAUGUUGCAUGGAAUAAUAGAAUACGGCCUCGGUUCUAUUCUGUUGGUCUUAUAGAACAACAAAUAAGUUGGUUAGGGCGACAAAAAGUCUGCCUAGAGUGUGGCACUUUGUGUACUGUUGUCUGGGGCCUAAAAAUCUCAGUACCUUGCGCACUUUGUCAUUAAAGCACUCUUUGUAUGGCUAGCUCUUCAAUCAACUGAGGCAAUGGUUAAAAGAAAUAGUCGCGGCGGCAUCAGUACUGCAUCGUGAGAGGUGAAAUUCUUAGACCGAUGCAAGACUAACUGAAGCGAAAGCGUUUGCCGAGGAUAUUUUCAUUAAUCAAGAACGAAAGUUAGAGGUUCGAAGGCGAUCAGAUACCGCCCUAGUUCUAACCAUAAACGUUGCCAACUAGCAAUUGGGUUGCGAUUCCUUUAACCAGAGCGUAAAACCUCUGGUCAUUAUGAUCCACCCAGCGGCUCUCGUAGGGAAACCAAAGUGUUUGGGUUCCGGGGGAAGUAUGAUUGCAAAGUUGAAACUUAAAGGAAUUGACGGAAGGGCACCACCAGGAGUGGAGCCUGCGGCUUAAUUUGACUCAACACGGGAAAACUUACUAGAUUAGAACUCUGGAAUGAUUGACAGAUUGAUAGCUCUUUCUUGAUUCAGAGGAUGGUGGUGCAUGGCCGUUCUUGAUUCGUAUUCCGAAACGUCUGCUUAAUUGCGAUAACGAGUGAGACCUCACCCAACUAACUAGUCGUUAGAUGCGCUAGGGACGCAAAAGUCUUUUCAGGGUUCGGUUGUAAGUGCUGGCUUCGGUUAGUAACUGCAACUACCUGUUGAGAUGUCCUCUGCUCGUCUGCGGACUUCUUAGAGGGAUAAACGGUGUUUUAGCCGUAAGAAACGAGGCAAUAACAGGUCUGUGAUGCCCUUAGAUAUUCUAGGCCGCACGCGUGCUACAAUGGCGUGUGCAGAAAGCUUGUUCGAGGUUCGUCUGAGGAAAAACUAGCUGUUUGUGCUGGCAUAUGGGGCAACUUGUGUGUUAGUCGACAGCCAAGUAGCCUUUGUUUACGAGCCGAGAGAAACCGCAGCCGAAAGGUUGCGGCAACCAUAAAUACACGCCGUGAUUUGGGAUUGGGGAUUGCAAUUGUUGCCCAUGAACGAGGAAUUCCCAGUAAGCGCAAUUCAUCAUAUUGCGUUGAUUACGUCCCUGCCCUUUGUACACACCGCCCGUCGCUACUACCGAUUGGAAGUUUUAGUGAGGCAUCCGGACUUGCCGGCCACGGGGGGCAACUCUCAGGUUGGCGGGGAAGUUUGUCGAACUCAAAUUUCUAGAGGAAGUAAAAGUCGUAACAAGGUUUCCGU
Molecule: ribosomal RNA, 2202 nt
Filed under: Paraphytoptus lithocarpis
Lineage: Eukaryota; Metazoa; Arthropoda; Arachnida; Trombidiformes; Eriophyidae
Description: partial small subunit ribosomal RNA
Rfam family: Eukaryotic small subunit ribosomal RNA
Source: RNAcentral